RNAcentral lists this ribosomal RNA (253 nucleotides) under uncultured bacterium. RNAcentral's name for it is "partial 16S ribosomal RNA". It matches the Rfam family "Bacterial small subunit ribosomal RNA", at positions 524 to 776 of the family's 1533-position model. The record is from RNAcentral.
UACGUAGGGGGCAAGUGUUGUCCGGAAUCAUUGGGCGUAAAGCGCGUGUAGGCGGUCCGGUAAGUCCGCUGUGAAAGUCGGGGGCUCAACCCUCGGAUGCCGGUGGAUACUGUCGGGCUUAAGUACGGAAGAGGCGAGUGGAAUUCCUGGUGUAGCGGUGAAAUGCGCAGAUAUCAGGAGGAACACCAAUUGCGAAGGCAGCUCGCUGGGACGUUACUGACGCUGAGACGCGAAAGCGUGGGGAGCAAACAGG